Schistosoma rodhaini is the source of this 45-nucleotide non-coding RNA. NCBI's taxonomy places the organism in Eukaryota, Metazoa, Platyhelminthes, Trematoda, Strigeidida, Schistosomatidae. The record is from Rfam.
AUUCAGCUGACGAGUCACAAACAGGACGAAACGCACGUUCGGGAU